This 117-nucleotide small nuclear RNA is filed under the name Canis lupus familiaris (dog). RNAcentral describes it as "U5 spliceosomal RNA". It matches the Rfam family "U5 spliceosomal RNA". From Rfam's summary of the family: U5 RNA is a component of both types of known spliceosome. The precise function of this molecule is unknown, though it is known that the 5' loop is required for splice site selection and p220 binding, and that both the 3' stem-loop and the Sm site are important for Sm protein binding and cap methylation. RNAcentral also lists the same sequence under 3 other names. The record is from Rfam by way of RNAcentral. Lineage: Eukaryota; Metazoa; Chordata; Mammalia; Carnivora; Canidae.
AUACUCUGGUUUCUCUUCAGAUCAUAUAAAUGUUUUGCCUUUUACUAAAGAUUUCCAUGGAGAGGAACAACUUUGAGUCUUAAGUAGAUUUUUUGGGUCCUUGUUUCAGUAAAGUUU